CUCCCCCCUCCUCCCCGCAUGACGACUCUUCCCCGACGGCGGUUGCGGUGCAGCAUCCCGAUGGCGGAGGCGCGACGUCCGACGUCCAGGAGGCUGAUGCGGCGCAGCAUCCCGAGGUCACCAUGCCAAACCCUAGGCCGAUGUGUCCUCCAUGAAGCAGCAAGAGGGUGGUUACGGUGCAGCAUCCCAAUGGCGGACGCAGCCUGACGUCCGGUGUCUAGGAGGUUGAUGCGGCGCGGCAUCCCGGUGGCCCAGUCAGGCAGGCAGGAUCUGCUGGUCACCAUGCUAAACCCUAGGCCAAUGUGAGCACCUCCCUCCCUCCUCCACUCCCUGCCCAUGUCCCUCUCCCUCACUAUUUCUUCUUUUUCGAGAUCUGUGGUGUGUCCUCCAUGAAGCAGCAAGAGGUGGAGGAGCUGCUCCGGUGGGUGAAGAAGCUAGAGAAAGCCAAGGCAUGGCUGCUCGGUGAGAAGGAGGCCGCGGAGAACACGUCGUGGGUGGCUGCGCGAGGAGGGGGGCAUUGGAGGCUUCUGUUUUUUUCCUACUGGACCUUGAAUUUCAUUGGAUUACUUAGUCUCUUCGAUCACCUCAUGCUAAUAAGUUGAUGUCUGCUGCUUGUUUGCUAUUUCUGUAAAGAAAGAAAGUGCUUGUCAGGAGUAUUUAAAUCAAUUGCUUUCAUCAAUUCA
This is a long non-coding RNA of Sorghum bicolor (sorghum), 683 nucleotides long. RefSeq lists it as uncharacterized. The transcript is spliced from 2 exons. The record is from RefSeq and is a predicted model, not a curated record. NCBI's taxonomy places the organism in Eukaryota, Viridiplantae, Streptophyta, Magnoliopsida, Poales, Poaceae.